Molecule: ribosomal RNA, 585 nt
Filed under: uncultured fungus
Lineage: Eukaryota; Fungi
Description: eukaryotic LSU rRNA
Rfam family: 5.8S ribosomal RNA (bases 215-368)
Source: RNAcentral
CGUAACAAGGUCUCCGUAGGUGAACCUGCGGAGGGAUCAUUACACAACAAAAUAUGAAGGCCCUGGCUUCGCGGCCGGCUGAAAUAUUUUUUCACCCAUGUCUUUUGCGCACUUGUUGUUUCCUGGGCGGGUUUGCCCGCCACCAGGACCAAACCAUAAACCUUUUUUUUUAUGCAGUUACCAUCAGCGUCAGUAAAACAAUGUAAUUAAUUACAACUUUCAACAACGGAUCUCUUGGUUCUGGCAUCGAUGAAGAACGCAGCGAAAUGCGAUACGUAGUGUGAAUUGCAGAAUUCAGUGAAUCAUCGAAUCUUUGAACGCACAUUGCGCCCUUUGGUAUUCCAAAGGGCAUGCCUGUUCGAGCGUCAUUUGUACCUUCAAGCUUUGCUUGGUGUUGGGCGUUUUUGUCUCCCUCUUUCUGGGAGACUCGCCUUAAAACGAUUGGCAGCCGGCCUACUGGUUUCGGAGCGCAGCACAUAAUUUGCGCUUUGUAUCUGGAGAAAAGGACGGUAAUCCAUCAAGACUCCAGAUUUUUAACUUUUGACCUCGGAUCAGGUAGGGAUACCCGCUGAACUUAAGCAUAUC